Molecule: ribosomal RNA, 497 nt
Filed under: uncultured bacterium
Lineage: Bacteria
Description: partial 16S ribosomal RNA
Rfam family: Bacterial small subunit ribosomal RNA
Source: RNAcentral
GAUGAACGCUGGCGGCGUGCCUAAUACAUGCAAGUCGAGCGAACGGACGAGAAGCUUGCUUCUCUGAUGUUAGCGGCGGACGGGUGAGUAACACGUGGAUAACCUACCUAUAAGACUGGGAUAACUUCGGGAAACCGGAGCUAAUACCGGAUAAUAUUUUGAACCGCAUGGUUCAAAAGUGAAAGACGGCCUUGCUGUCACUUAUAGAUGGAUCCGCGCUGCAUUAGCUAGUUGGUAAGGUAACGGCUUACCAAGGCAACGAUGCAUAGCCGACCUGAGAGGAUGAUCGGCCACACUGGAACUGAGACACGGUCCAGACUCCUACGGGAGGCAGCAGUAGGGAAUCUUCGGCAAAGGGCGCAAGCCUGACGGAGCAACGCCGCGUGAGUGAUGAAGGUCUUCGGAUCGUAAAACUCUGUUAUUGGGGAAGAACAUAUGUGUAAGUAACUGUGCACAUCUUGACGGUACCUAAUCAGAAAGCAACGGCUAACUACGUG